Molecule: long non-coding RNA, 362 nt
Organism: Gordionus sp. m RMFG-2023
Lineage: Eukaryota; Metazoa; Nematomorpha; Gordioida; Chordodea; Parachordodidae
Exons: 4
Source: RefSeq, a predicted model, not a curated record
AAAAAUAAACAAAAAAGAUAAAAAAAUUAUAAAAAAUACGAAAAUAAAACCACUAAAUCGCCAAAUUUAAAAUCGCCAAAACAUCAUUCACACCUUGCAGAUUCGCCCUCAGAUAGGGUCAAGGCCUGUUUGCUGACAACUGAGGCUGCAACAAUACCAAAUCUAACUUCCUAUUCUAUUAUAAUCCGAUCCCAUUUACACCAUGCAGAUUCGCCCUCAGAUAGGGUCAAGGCCUGUUUGCUGACAACUGAGGGUAAAUAAAUUAUUCAUAAUAAAUCAUUUUAUUUUAAAUUUUCAAGCUGCAACAAUACCAAAUCUAACUUCCUAUUCUAUUAUAAUCCGAUCUCUCAUUUACACCUAGC